UGGGGAAUUUUCCGCAAUGGGCGAAAGCCUGACGGAGCAAUACCGCGUGAGGGAGGAAGGCUCUUGGGUUGUAAACCUCUUUUCUCAGGGAAGAAAAAAUGACGGUACCUGAGGAAUAAGCAUUGGCUAACUCCGUGCCAGCAGCCGCGGUAAUACGGAGGAUGCAAGCGUUAUCCGGAAUGAUUGGGCGUAAAGGGUCCGCAGGUGGCUAUGUAAGUCUGCUGUUAAAGAACUUAGCUUAACUAGGUAAAAGCAGUGGAAACUACAAGGCUAGAGUGCGUUCGGGGUAGAGGGAAUUCCUGGUGUAGCGGUGAAAUGCGUAGAUAUCAGGAAGAACACCAGUGGCGAAGGCGCUCUACUAGGCCGCAACUGACACUGAGGGACGAAAGCUAGGGGAGCGGAAUGGGAUUAGAUACCCCAGUAGUCCUAGCCGUAAACGAUGGAUACUAGGCGUGGCUUGUAUCGACCCGAGCCGUGCCGGAGCUAACGCGUUAAGUAU
This 499-nucleotide ribosomal RNA is filed under the name uncultured cyanobacterium. Its description in RNAcentral is "bacterial SSU rRNA". It matches the Rfam family "Bacterial small subunit ribosomal RNA", at positions 355 to 867 of the family's 1533-position model. The record is from RNAcentral. Lineage: Bacteria; Bacillati; Cyanobacteriota.